GGGGAUAUAGCUCAGCUGGGAGAGCGCUUGAAUGGCAUUCAAGAGGUCAGCGGUUCGAACCCGCUUAUCUCCA
Molecule: transfer RNA, 73 nt
Filed under: Fidelibacterota bacterium
Lineage: Bacteria; Pseudomonadati; Fidelibacterota
Description: Candidatus Marinimicrobia bacterium tRNA-Ala
Rfam family: tRNA
About the family: Transfer RNA (tRNA) molecules are approximately 80 nucleotides in length.
Source: RNAcentral